AGGAUGAACGCUGGCGGCGUGCUUAACACAUGCAAGUCGAACGAUGAAGCGGAGCUUGCUCUGUGGAUUAGUGGCGAACGGGUGAGUAACACGUGAGUAACCUGCCCUUGACUCUGGGAUAAGCACUGGAAACGGUGUCUAAUACCGGAUACGAGCUUCAGCCGCAUGGCUAGGAGUUGGAAAGAAUUUCGGUCAAGGAUGGACUCGCGGCCUAUCAGGUAGUUGGUGAGGUAAUGGCCCACCAAGCCUACGACGGGUAGCCGGCCUGAGAGGGUGACCGGCCACACUGGGACUGAGACACGGCCCAGACUCCUACGGGAGGCAGCAGUGGGGAAUAUUGCACAAUGGGCGAAAGCCUGAUGCAGCGACGCCGCGUGAGGGAUGACGGCCUUCGGGUUGUAAACCUCUUUCAGCAGGGACGAAGCGAAAGUGACGGUACCUGCAGAAGAAGCACCGGCCAACUACGCGCCAGCAGCCGCGGUAA
RNAcentral lists this ribosomal RNA (484 nucleotides) under uncultured bacterium. RNAcentral's name for it is "SSU rRNA". It matches the Rfam family "Bacterial small subunit ribosomal RNA", at positions 26 to 523 of the family's 1533-position model. The record is from RNAcentral.